Molecule: ribosomal RNA, 602 nt
Filed under: Cicindela (Rivacindela) sp. JP-114
Lineage: Eukaryota; Metazoa; Arthropoda; Insecta; Coleoptera; Carabidae
Description: partial 16S ribosomal RNA
Rfam family: Bacterial large subunit ribosomal RNA
Source: RNAcentral
UUUAAGGUCUAGCCUGCCCAAUGAGGAUUUUAAUGGCCGCAGUAUUUUGACUGUGCAAAGGUAGCAUAAUUAUUAGUUUUUUAAUUGAAAGCUUGUAUGAAGGGUUGGACGAGAUAAAAUCUGUCUUUAUUUAAAUUAAAAUAUAAUUUAACUUUUAAGUAAAAAGGCUUAAAUGUUUAUAAAAGACGAGAAGACCCUAUAGAUCUUUAUUUAAUUAAAAUUUUAAUAAUUUAGGAUUAUUUUAAUUUAAAGUUUUAAUUGAAUUUUAUUGGGGUAAUAUAAAGAUUAAAUAAAUUCUUUUUAUUUAUAACAUUGAUUUAUGAAUAUAUGAUCCAUUAAUAUUGAUUAUAAGAUUAAGUUACCUUAGGGAUAACAGCGUAAUUUUUUUGGAGAGCUCAUAUCGAUAAAAAAGUUUGCGACCUCGAUGUUGGAUUAAAAAUUAGCUUGGGUGCAGAAGCUCAAGAUUUUGGUCUGUUCGACCAUUAAAUUUUUACAUGAUCUGAGUUCAGACCGGCGUAAGCCAGGUCGGUUUCUAUCUUUAUAAAGAUAAAAUGUUUUAGUACGAAAGGACCAGACAUUUAAUAUAAUUAUAUUUUAUUCUU